AGACCCGAAACCCGGUGAUCUAGCCAUGGGCAGGUUGAAGGUUGGGUAACACUAACUGGAGGACCGAACCGACUAAUGUUGAAAAAUUAGCGGAUGACCUGUGGCUGGGGGUGAAAGGCCAAUCAAACCGGGAGAUAGCUGGUUCUCCCCGAAAGCUAUUUAGGUAGCGCCUCGUGAAUUCAUCUCCGGGGGUAGAGCACUGUUUCGGCUAGGGGGCCAUCCCGGCUUACCAACCCGAUGCAAACUGCGAAUACCGGAGAAUGUUAUCACGGGAGACACACGGCGGGUGCUAACGUCCGUCGUGAAGAGGGAAACAACCCAGACCGCCAGCUAAGGUCCCAAAGUCAUGGUUAAGUGGGAAACGAUGUGGGAAGGCCCAGACAGCCAGGAUGUUGGCUUAGAAGCAGCCAUCAUUUAAAGAAAGCGUAAUAGCUCACUGGUCGAGUCGGCCUGCGCGGAAGAUGUAACGGGGCUAAACCAUGCACCGAAGCUGCGGCAGC
This 500-nucleotide ribosomal RNA is filed under the name Salmonella enterica subsp. enterica serovar Infantis. Its description in RNAcentral is "partial 23S ribosomal RNA". It matches the Rfam family "Bacterial large subunit ribosomal RNA", at positions 711 to 1209 of the family's 2925-position model. Lineage: Bacteria; Pseudomonadati; Pseudomonadota; Gammaproteobacteria; Enterobacterales; Enterobacteriaceae. The record is from RNAcentral. RNAcentral also lists the same sequence under 21 other names.